AGAGUUUGAUCCUGGCUCAGGACGAACGCUGGCGGCGUGGAUUAGGCAUGCAAGUCGAACGGUAUGGUGCUUUCGGGCAUCAGAGAGUGGCGAACGGGUGAGUAACACGUAGGUUAUCUACCCUCAAGACGGGGACAACCCAGGGAAACUUGGGCUAAUACCGGAUGAAAGCAACCGUGAGGUUGUUUAAAAGAUGGCUUUAAGCUGUCGCUUGGGGAUGAGCCUGCGUCCUAUUAGUUAGUUGGUGAGGUAACGGCUCCCCAAGGCAACGAUAGGUAGGCGGCCUUAACGGGUGGUCGCCCACACUGGGAUUGAGAAACGGCCCAGACUCCUACGGGAGGCAGCAGUCGAGAAUAGUCUACAAUGGCCGAAAGGCUGAUAGUGCGACGCCGCGUGAACGAGGAAUCCCUUCGGGGUGUAAAGUUCUUUUAUAUGUGAGCAGUGCCGGCUAUAUUAAUAGUAUAGUUGGAGAGAUAUUAGCAUAUGAAUAAGCAACGGCUAACUCCGUGCCAGCAGCCGCGGUAACACGGGGGUUGCAAGCGUUGUCCGGAAUUACUAGGCGUAAAGGGCAGGCAGGCGGACCUGCAAGUUUUCUGUUAAAGACGUCAGCUCAACUGGCGCACGGCAGGAGAUACUGCAGGUCUUGAAUGCGGUUGGGGAAGACAGAAUUCCUGGUGUAGCGGUGGAAUGCGCAGAGAUCAGGAGGAAUACCAAAGGCGAAGGCAGUCUUCCAAGCCGUUAUUGACGCUGAACUGCGAAGGUGUGGGUAUCAAACAAGAUUAGAUACCCUGGUAGUCCACACAGU
RNAcentral lists this ribosomal RNA (805 nucleotides) under uncultured bacterium. Its description in RNAcentral is "bacterial SSU rRNA". It matches the Rfam family "Bacterial small subunit ribosomal RNA", at positions 8 to 803 of the family's 1533-position model. The record is from RNAcentral.